GUGGGGAAUCUUGCGCAAUGGGCGAAAGCCUGACGCAGCCAUGCCGCGUGAAUGAUGAAGGUCUUAGGAUUGUAAAAUUCUUUCACCGGGGACGAUAAUGACGGUAGUCGGAGAAGAAGCCCCGGCUAACUUCGUGCCAGCAGCCGCGGUAAUACGAAGGGGGCUAGCGUUGCUCGGAAUUACUGGGCGUAAAGGGAGCGUAGGCGGAUAGUUUAGUCAGAGGUGAAAGCCCAGGGCUCAACCUUGGAAUUGCCUUUGAUACUGGCUAUCUUGAGUAUGGAAGAGGUAUGUGGAACUCCGAGUGUAGAGGUGAAAUUCGUAGAUAUUCGGAAGAACACCAGUGGCGAAGGCGACAUACUGGUCCAUUACUGACGCUGAGGCUCGAAAGCGUGGGGAGCAAACAGGAUUAGAUACCCUGGUAGUCC
RNAcentral lists this ribosomal RNA (425 nucleotides) under uncultured bacterium. RNAcentral's name for it is "partial 16S ribosomal RNA". It matches the Rfam family "Bacterial small subunit ribosomal RNA", at positions 354 to 796 of the family's 1533-position model. The record is from RNAcentral.